GUGCUCGUGGUGGAACGGCAGACACGCCAGCUUGAGGGGCUGGUGCCUGAAAAGGCGUGAGGGUUCGAAUCCCUCCGAGCACACCA
This 86-nucleotide transfer RNA is filed under the name Bacteriophage DSS3_MAL1. RNAcentral describes it as "tRNA-Leu". It matches the Rfam family "tRNA". Rfam says of the family: Transfer RNA (tRNA) molecules are approximately 80 nucleotides in length. Their secondary structure includes four short double-helical elements and three loops (D, anti-codon, and T loops). Lineage: Duplodnaviria; Heunggongvirae; Uroviricota; Caudoviricetes. The record is from RNAcentral.